CAGUAGCCGCGGUAAUACGUAGGGUGCAAGCGUUAAUCGGAAUUACUGGGCGUAAAGCGUGCGCAGGCGGUUAUAUAAGACAGAUGUGAAAUCCCCGGGCUCAACCUGGGAACUGCAUUUGUGACUGUAUAGCUAGAGUACGGCAGAGGGGGAUGGAAUUCCGCGUGUAGCAGUGAAAUGCGUAGAUAUGCGGAGGAACACCGAUGGCGAAGGCAAUCCCCUGGGCCUGUACUGACGCUCAUGCACGAAAGCGUGGGGAGCAAACAGGAUUAGAUCCCCCGUAGUCCCUGUCUCUUAUACC
RNAcentral lists this ribosomal RNA (301 nucleotides) under uncultured bacterium. RNAcentral describes it as "partial 16S ribosomal RNA". It matches the Rfam family "Bacterial small subunit ribosomal RNA", at positions 509 to 808 of the family's 1533-position model. The record is from RNAcentral.